RNAcentral lists this long non-coding RNA (259 nucleotides) under Rosa chinensis. RNAcentral's name for it is "sRNA RchiOBHm_Chr7g0179901". Lineage: Eukaryota; Viridiplantae; Streptophyta; Magnoliopsida; Rosales; Rosaceae. The record is from RNAcentral.
GAUCAGAGCGAUCUUCGAUCCGAGGCGACCAACAGAUCAGAGCGAUCUCCGAUCUCAGACGACCAAUAGAUAGCGAAGGAGAGAACCGCCGCGAACAACAGAACCCGGACGAGCGUGUCGCUGAGCUGAUCCAUCAGCAGCUUCAGGAUCGACUGAUCCUGGUGCUUCUCCAGUUCGUUCCAUCCGUACACUGCCCGACGCUUCUCGACUUCCUCCUCCGACAGCCCCGAGUCGCUGUUGACCUUGAACUCGUCCUCGC